RNAcentral lists this ribosomal RNA (485 nucleotides) under uncultured bacterium. RNAcentral describes it as "bacterial SSU rRNA". It matches the Rfam family "Bacterial small subunit ribosomal RNA", at positions 33 to 507 of the family's 1533-position model. The record is from RNAcentral.
GACGACGCUGGCGGCGUGGAUUAGGCAUGCAAGUCGAACGGUAUCAUCCUUUCGGGGGUGAGAGAGUGGCGAACUGGUGAGUAACACGUAGGUUAUCUACCCUCAAGACGGGGACAACCCAGGGAAACUUGGGCUAAUACCGGAUGUGAGCAACUUUUAGUUGUUUGAAAGGUGGCGUAAGCUGUCGCUUGGGGAUGAGCCUGCGUCCUAUUAGUUAGUUGGUGAGGUAACGGCUCACCUAGGCAAUGAUAGGUAGGCGGCCUUAACGGGUGGUCGCCCACACUGGGAUUGAGAUACGGCCCAGACUCCUACGGGAGGCAGCAGUCGAGAAUAGUCUACAAUGGUCGGAAGACUGAUAGUGCGACGCCGCGUGAACGAUGAAUCCCUUCGGGGUGUAAAGUCUUUUAUAUGUGAGCAGUGCUUCUUAUAUUAACAGUAUGGGGAGAGAGAUAUUAGCAUAUGAAUAAGCAACGGCUAACUCCGUG